This is a long non-coding RNA of Dermochelys coriacea (leatherback sea turtle), 782 nucleotides long. RefSeq lists it as uncharacterized. The transcript has 3 exons. NCBI's taxonomy places the organism in Eukaryota, Metazoa, Chordata, Testudines, Dermochelyidae. The record is from RefSeq and is a predicted model, not a curated record.
UCAACUUAUAUUGACAACAUCAUAGUGGCACAGUCAGACAAACUCUCCUGGGAAAGUUUACAUGGCAGUCACAAAGAAGACAUGCUGUUCACACUUUUUGAUCUGGCAAGAAACUCUCCUACAAAGGAAAUACAGCAUCAUACAAAGAUUCAAGAAUAAUUAAAUGCUUUGAUUUGAAGUCAAUGGAGCUAUGCCAAUUUACACCAGCUGAGGAUCCGACCCAUUAAGCUUAUAUUAUUUUAUAAAAUUCCUACUAUAUUUCAACUGUCUGAGAUCUACUCAGUAAUAUACUGCUAUAAGGAUAGUAAAGAUACACAGGCAGUCUAGGGAUCAGCAGUUCUCACUGAAGCAAAGAAAGGAAACUUUAGCUCUUUCAUUAUGCAAACAUAAAUCCACAAGAAGAAGCUACAGCAUCUUCAUUCUGUUUAUAAUUAAUAUUGUACCUCAAGCAGUCACCUGUGGAAAAGAGAGGUAUGAAAGGAUUUCAACUUACUUUGAUAUUUAAGGUAUUUAAUGUCCUUUAAACAUAAAGUUUAAACAGGAGGAAAUUCAUAAUCUGCAAGAAUGUUCUUAGUUCAACAAAGUCUUUGAGUUGACAGCUAAUAAUUAAUUAACAAUGAACGGUGUCUUUCAGCCUGGCAUGAUGAUUGGCACUAUCAUCUUCUGAAAAUGAGAGAUUUUAAGGUGGCAGACUACCGUCAGGGAAACAUUAAAGCUUCACAAUUCCCACUCCUUUCAGCUAAACGCUUGACGUGACAGGUUAGAUCACUUGAAAAAGAAGA